CUUCAUAGGAGUGGUGCUCUGGCACUUUGAUCAUCUCUGUGGCCCUCCUGUGCACCCACUCCAAGAGCUCUACAACCUUCCCGUGUUACCCACAGCUGGAGGCCACACUGGCAAGGCCUGAAGCCAUCUACCGGUCCUAUAGAAAUGUGUAUUCAAACCCACUCUUCCCUGCUGCCUUGCAGUCUGUGCAUAGUCAUCUGUUGAUCAGUCCCUGCAUUAGCCAUACUCACUGGCUCUGGAAUGAGCAAGGCUGCGGGGGCAGACAGUGUUUGCAGACUCAUCAUCAUAGACAUAGUUGAAAUAUCUUUAUAACACAUUGCACGAGACAUCAGUCUUCAUCUUUAAUUAAAGAAGAUUAAAGACAAGAAAGCCUUAAAGAAAUGUUUGAUGGACAUCUUGAGGAAGAUAUGAAAGCAGCAGUAAACAAAAAGGUACAGUGCCCAUACAACUAUCAGCGUUUUCGUACGCGAAGUAUAAAACAUUGCCUUUGCACAAAUGCCCAACUAACAAGCUAAUCUCGUUUAUUGCAGAACUGUAUUUCUAGAAUUAAUUGAUUAAGAUUUACAAGUUUUUGAGGCAAUAUCUUAGCACUUAAUUAGCACUUUGAAGUCAUUCUCAUAUUUAUUGUGAAAUAUGGGUUUUCAUUAGGUGGUUAGAAGAGAAGACUACAACCUCCCAGUGAUAUUUGUGAUGCAGUUUUGAUUCUUUGAAUAUUUAUGAUUUCUGCUGUUGAAAAAUAAUAGUCUCUUCAAUGGCCUUCUGCUUUUACAGGACACUAGAACUUUACCAAGAGAGUAAUAUAGGUAUUCUUGUUGGUUCCGCUUUACUCUGUACAGUAUAAAAUUAGGACAACUUUCUAGUCUGUUUUUUCACUGUUGUAAAUCUUUUUUGCUGUGCAAUGACAAGUUCAUUCAAUCUCUUUCCAUAAAAAAGAAGAAAAGAAAGAAAAAAGUGCUUUAUGCAGUAAAUGAAGUUUAGGAGACAUUCAAGUUUUAAUUAGAAAGAGAUUCUCUUGUUGUCUUUAUCUGGAACCCUACAUGAGACCAAUGUUAGCUGUCCUGGCAAUAUAAUCAA
RNAcentral lists this long non-coding RNA (1074 nucleotides) under Coturnix japonica (Japanese quail). Its description in RNAcentral is "lncRNA (ENSCJPG00005016817.1)". The record is from RNAcentral. Lineage: Eukaryota; Metazoa; Chordata; Aves; Galliformes; Phasianidae.